CUGCUAUACCACGUUGAAACACCUGAUGUCGUACGAUCACCGAAGUUAAGCACCGUCGAACCUGGUCAGUACCUAGAUGGGUGACUGCUUCGAAAUACCAGGGGUUA
This is a non-coding RNA of Acanthosepion pharaonis, 107 nucleotides long. The record is from the annotation of a GenBank genome assembly. NCBI's taxonomy places the organism in Eukaryota, Metazoa, Mollusca, Cephalopoda, Sepiida, Sepiidae.